GUCAGCACCCCGCUCUAAAGAGACGGGGCUAUGCGCGGAGCGCAGGCUUCGCCAACAUGCCUCUAACUUUGGAUAGCUGACCAGCUAUAGUCUUAAUUGACUACGUUAUCGGCAAGUGUUAAAGACCCACCAAUGGAUGCGAAGCUAGUCCGUUGCUCUGGAACUUAAAAGUUAAACAGUUUUACGAGGGGUAAGACAGUGCUUUUGAGAUAGUUACCGACCGAUAACAUUGGCGAAGCUAACAUUAC
Non-coding RNA from Planktothrix tepida PCC 9214, 248 nucleotides. It matches the Rfam family "HNH endonuclease-associated RNA and ORF (HEARO) RNA". The record is from Rfam. Lineage: Bacteria; Bacillati; Cyanobacteriota; Cyanophyceae; Oscillatoriales; Microcoleaceae.